This 301-nucleotide ribosomal RNA is filed under the name uncultured bacterium. Its description in RNAcentral is "partial 16S ribosomal RNA". It matches the Rfam family "Bacterial small subunit ribosomal RNA", at positions 509 to 809 of the family's 1533-position model. The record is from RNAcentral.
CAGUAGCCGCGGUAAUACGUAGGUGGCAAGCGUUGUCCGGAAUUAUUGGGCGUAAAGGGCUCGCAGGCGGUUUCUUAAGUCUGAUGUGAAAGCCCCCGGCUCAACCGGGGAGGGUCAUUGGAAACUGGGAAACUUGAGUGCAGAAGAGGAGAGUGGAAUUCCACGUGUAGCGGUGAAAUGCGUAGAGAUGUGGAGGAACACCAGUGGCGAAGGCGACUCUCUGGUCUGUAACUGACGCUGAGGAGCGAAAGCAUGGGGAGCGAACAGGAUUAGAUACCCCAGUAGUCCCUGUCUCUUAUAA